AGGCAUAGUCAAUGCACAAUUGAAUUAGGGUUUCCUUGGGAAGCAAUCCUCAAGACCUUUGGUUUAUAUUGAUUAUAUUGACAAAUUGAGACACUUGGGAGGCAUAUAUGAUGAUUUAGAGCUUUGGGAAUUAUUGUCAUGCUUGCUUUCAACUUCAUCUGGCCCUUUCAAUGAGCAUAGGGGCCUCCUAGGAGCCUUGGAUCACAUGACUGCUUAAGCUUCAAAACAAAACAAGUUAGUGACAUAUUUUUG
RNAcentral lists this long non-coding RNA (252 nucleotides) under Lathyrus oleraceus (garden pea). RNAcentral describes it as "Pisum sativum (pea) long non-coding RNA (PSAT_LNC000601)". The record is from RNAcentral. Lineage: Eukaryota; Viridiplantae; Streptophyta; Magnoliopsida; Fabales; Fabaceae.